AAGCCUACGGGAGGCAGCAGUAGGGAAUUUUCGUCAAUGGGCGCAAGCCUGAACGAGCAAUGCCGCGUGAACGAGGAAGGUCUUCGGAUCGUAAAGUUCUGUUGAAGGGGAAAAAGAGCGGAGAGAGGAAAUGCUUUCUGAUUGAUAUUACCCUUCGAGGAAGUCACGGCUAACUACGUGCCAGCAGCCGCGGUAAUACGUAGGUGGCAAGCGUUGUCCGGAUUUACUGGGUGUAAAGGGCGUGCAGCCGGAGAGACAAGUCAGAUGUGAAAUCCACGGGCUCAACCCGUGAACUGCAUUUGAAA
This 305-nucleotide ribosomal RNA is filed under the name uncultured bacterium. RNAcentral's name for it is "bacterial SSU rRNA". It matches the Rfam family "Bacterial small subunit ribosomal RNA", at positions 335 to 632 of the family's 1533-position model. The record is from RNAcentral.